This 777-nucleotide ribosomal RNA is filed under the name uncultured bacterium. RNAcentral describes it as "bacterial SSU rRNA". It matches the Rfam family "Bacterial small subunit ribosomal RNA", at positions 8 to 796 of the family's 1533-position model. The record is from RNAcentral.
AGAGUUUGAUCCUGGCUCAGGACGAACGCUGGCGGCGUGCUUAACACAUGCAAGUCACGGGGGCUCGCAAGAGCAACCGGCGAACGGGUGCGUAACACGUGAACAACCUGCCCUCGUGUGGGGGAUAGCCGGGCUAACGCCCGGGUAAUACCGCAUACGUUCCCUUGGGGGAGUCCCCGGGGGAGGAAAGCUCCGGCGCACGGGGAGGGGUUCGCGGCCUAUCAGCUAGUUGGCGGGGUAAUGGCCCACCAAGGCGACGACGGGUAGCUGGUCUGAGAGGAUGGCCAGCCACAUUGGGACUGAGAGACGGCCCAGACUCCUACGGGAGGCAGCAGUGGGGAAUCUUGCGCAAUGGUCGAAAGACUGACGCAGCGACGCCGCGUGUGGGAGGACGCCUUUCGGGGUGUAAACCACUGUUGCCCGGGACGAACGAGCGCUUUCGAGCGCUGUGACGGUACCGGGUGAGGAAGCACCGGCUAACUCCGUGCCAGCAGCCGCGGUAAUACGGAGGGUGCGAGCGUUGUCCGGAAUCAUUGGGCGUAAAGGGCGCGUAGGUGGCCCGGUCAGUUCGUGGUGAAAGCGCGGGGCUCAACCCUGCGUCGGCCAUGAAUACUGCCGCGGCUGGAGCACUGUAGAGGCAGGCGGAAUUCCGGGUGUAGCGGUGGAAUGCGUAGAGAUCCGGAAGAACACCGGUGGCGAAGGCGGCCUGCUGGGCAGUUGCUGACACUGAGGCGCGACAGCGUGGGGAGCAAACAGGAUUAGAUACCCUAGUAGUCC